RNAcentral lists this ribosomal RNA (1373 nucleotides) under uncultured bacterium. RNAcentral describes it as "bacterial SSU rRNA". It matches the Rfam family "Bacterial small subunit ribosomal RNA", at positions 28 to 1381 of the family's 1533-position model. The record is from RNAcentral.
GAUGAACGCUGGCGGCGUGCCUAAUACAUGCAAGUCGAGCGAACGGACGAGAAGCUUGCUUCUCUGAUGUUAGCGGCGGACGGGUGAGUAACACGUGGAUAACCUACCUAUAAGACUGGGAUAACUUCGGGAAACCGGAGCUAAUACCGGAUAAUAUUUUGAACCGCAUGGUUCAAAAGUGAAAGACGGUCUUGCUGUCACUUAUAGAUGGAUCCGCGCUGCAUUAGCUAGUUGGUAAGGUAACGGCUUACCAAGGCAACGAUGCAUAGCCGACCUGAGAGGGUGAUCGGCCACACUGGAACUGAGACACGGUCCAGACUCCUACGGGAGGCAGCAGUAGGGAAUCUUCCGCAAUGGGCGAAAGCCUGACGGAGCAACGCCGCGUGAGUGAUGAAGGUCUUCGGAUCGUAAAACUCUGUUAUUAGGGAAGAACAUAUGUGUAAGUAACUGUGCACAUCUUGACGGUACCUAAUCAGAAAGCCACGGCUAACUACGUGCCAGCAGCCGCGGUAAUACGUAGGUGGCAAGCGUUAUCCGGAAUUAUUGGGCGUAAAGCGCGCGUAGGCGGUUUUUUAAGUCUGAUGUGAAAGCCCACGGCUCAACCGUGGAGGGUCAUUGGAAACUGGAAAACUUGAGUGCAGAAGAGGAAAGUGGAAUUCCAUGUGUAGCGGUGAAAUGCGCAGAGAUAUGGAGGAACACCAGUGGCGAAGGCGACUUUCUGGUCUGUAACUGACGCUGAUGUGCGAAAGCGUGGGGAUCAAACAGGAUUAGAUACCCUGGUAGUCCACGCCGUAAACGAUGAGUGCUAAGUGUUAGGGGGUUUCCGCCCCUUAGUGCUGCAGCUAACGCAUUAAGCACUCCGCCUGGGGAGUACGACCGCAAGGUUGAAACUCAAAGGAAUUGACGGGGACCCGCACAAGCGGUGGAGCAUGUGGUUUAAUUCGAAGCAACGCGAAGAACCUUACCAAAUCUUGACAUCCUUUGACAACUCUAGAGAUAGAGCCUUCCCCUUCGGGGGGGCAAAGUGACAGGUGGUGCAUGGUUGUCGUCAGCUCGUGUCGUGAGAUGUUGGGUUAAGUCCCGCAAUGAGCGCAACCCUUAAGCUUAGUUGCCAUCAUUAAGUUGGGCACUCUAAGUUGACUGCCGGUGACAAACCGGAGGAAGGUGGGGAUGACGUCAAAUCAUCAUGCCCCUUAUGAUUUGGGCUACACACGUGCUACAAUGGACAAUACAAAGGGCAGCGAAACCGCGAGGUCAAGCAAAUCCCAUAAAGUUGUUCUCAGUUCGGAUUGUAGUCUGCAACUCGACUACAUGAAGCUGGAAUCGCUAGUAAUCGUAGAUCAGCAUGCUACGGUGAAUACGUUCCCGGGUCU